Molecule: long non-coding RNA, 3581 nt
Organism: Magnolia sinica
Lineage: Eukaryota; Viridiplantae; Streptophyta; Magnoliopsida; Magnoliales; Magnoliaceae
Exons: 2
Source: RefSeq, a predicted model, not a curated record
CUCUUGUGGCCCUCAAUAAGUUUGUAAUGGUGGGCGUCACUCUCUCCACUGUUUUUUGUGGUGGGGUCCACUCGAGCUCUGGAUCUGACCCAUUUUUUGGCUCAUGCCAUAAAAUGAUCUCUUCAAAUGUAUGGACGGUGUGGAUACAAAAAAUACAUCAUGGUGGGACCCACAUAACUUGGUGACGUCGCUUGUGCCCCGUCAAUGAGGGGCCGAUCAUACAGACGUGGUUGAUCGGAUUGCGUACUGAGUUACUCAGUACGCUCUUAUCGUACUGAGUAAACUCUGUUGGGCCCACCGUGAUUGCACGUGGUUUAUCCACGCCGUCCAUCCAUUUUUAUUGAUCAUUUUAGAUGUUUAGCCCAAAAUUGAAGCAUAUCCACGACUCAAGUGGACCAACUCAAGUGGAGCCACCGCGCAACUCUAUGUGGGUCUAGACCACAACUACUCCCCAUCAUUGAUAUAUAUAUAUUUCUCAAAUUUUACUUCUUCAGUUCUUCUUUUGCUUUUUCAAUGAUUGGUUGUGUUUUCAUACAUGACUAUAAUAUAUUUAUAAAUAUCAUGCAUUCAAUUUAAAUAUAGUUACAUUAGUUCAGUUAAACAUCGCAUAACUUAGGACCCUAUACAAUGGAAAUUUAUUAGGUGCAUCUUUUUUUUUUUUUUUUUUGAGAUGUUAUGAUUUAAAAGUGUGUAUUAAGGGCUUUUUUAACAAUCUCCAAAGUUUCAUUAAAAAAUUCAAUCAUAUUCCCAAUGUUUCCCCAUGUUUCCCCAAAAGUGUGAUAAAUUAUGCGAUACAAACGAUAUAUCCCGUGCGAUAACCGAUAUGUAUCUGUAUCCCAAGGGUGCAAUACAUAGUGCGAUAUCGAUAUUUCGAACAAUGGUUGCAACAUUCCUUAAAAAGUAACAUAUGAAGGCAAGAUAAGACAUAAGAAAGAAUCAUUUACAAACAAAACAAGAUGACAUUCGUUUUGAAUAUUUGAGACAUUUAUAAAAUAAAAUAAAAAAACAAUGCAGUCGUAUUUCAAACAAUGAUCGUUUAGUGCAAUGGAGUCAACAUUCCACAAAUAAUAAAAAUUUAUCUUAAUACAAUCAAUCCCGUGUUGUUUUUCUGAUGCUUAAUCGAAACUUGGUCUCUCUCUCUCUCUCUCUCUCUCUCUCUCUCUCUCUCUUUCGGCUUACACAUUUUGCUCUCAACACCAACUUCGUUUGGCCCUUCUUUAACACCUUUUAUUUAUGUUGACAUUACCACCUUCAUUUUCCUCAUCGCUAUAGACAUGUUCAUCCUUGCCACCUUUGUUUUCCUCGUUGUCUUCAUUUAUUAUUUCUUAAUCAGGGUCAAUAUGAAGAUUAUCGUUCACAAUAUGAUUAUGCAAGAUACAAUAUCCGAAUACUAUCUUCACUUGUGUAUGUAAAAGACAACCCCAAUAUAUCCAGGAGAGACUAAGUAUUACAUUAUUUUUUCAGAGAAAUUAUGUUACUACCCUCAUUUAUUUUUUCUUUACAAAUGAAGAAUUGAGAUUUGCGGAGCCCAUGUGGCAUGUGUCUGACAUUCGACUUAUUCAACGGAUGCACACAAACAUGAUUAUUAGAAAAACUAAAAAUAUGCUAGAUCCAAUUGUAAGGUGGGCCAAUCCAUAAAAAAUUAAUUACACUACUUAAAAUAUCCAAAUUCAAGCGUAGUUCUUCUGAUGAUUUGAUCAGCCUAAUCUUUUGUUCGUGUUAUCAUCAUCUUGAGGUGCAUAGGGUGGAUAGGUGGAUGUUAUACAUAUACCAUGUGGGCCCCACAAGUCUUGGCUUUCAUUACUUUUAAAAAAUAAUUAGAUGAGGGUUUUAAUAAUUUAAUCUUUCAAAAAGAACUCCACAUAAUUUCAAAUUGUUUAGGCACUAGUUAAAAUUGAAAUUUUAUUGUAAAAAUGCCUUAAAUAAAAGUGGUGGCUUUGCUUAGGAUAAGGAGCGUAAAUGUAAACAAAGAAGUUUGGAAUGAUUUAUCAAAGUGAAUGAAAAGAAAAUUGUAUACUUCACAUUCGUUUUUAUUUCUAAUAUAAUGCAUGUGAAGAUUAUCUAAUAUCUAAACUUUUUCCUUUCUCGGUUAAACUCUGAGGCUCAAAAAUAAGAAAACAAACCAUUCCCACUUUACAAGGAGGGGAUUAUGUGCGAAAAGGGCAAUGUUAUGAAAAAUAUAUUAAGCACUCCCGACGAAACUGCAAAAGAGGAGGCCCAACCACAUUGCCCAAUAUAUAACAUUCUAGUAACCUUCUUUCAGUUUAGAGGAUUUGGAUCAUAUAUAUUAUUGGAUGAGCUUUCAGAUGAGGCAUAUACACAUGCUCAACAAUUCAAUGGAGGUGCUCUUUAAAAUGGGGGAACAUCAGUUUCGAGGCCAAGCUAGAGCCCCAUGUGGGUGUGCUGCAAAGAUUGGACGGCUUCUGCAACACAAUAGACAGAUAUGCGAAAAAGGGAAUCAUAAUUGCUAGGAAAUGUAUGGGAGGUGUUGCGUAAUUUUUUAAUCUUUAAUCAUCACUAAGAAAAUGAUGUGGAGUGCCUUCAUCUACCUUGCAAGACGAUCAAAUUGAGCCAAGCUAUUUUCGUAAAAUUCAGCUUGAGAUUAAAUAUAUAUGUCUAGAGAAAAACAUUCCGUUAUAAAAAAAAUAAUUUACUUGUGUUUUUUUUCUUUUUAAAUUUAUUUUGUAUGAAGAUAUUUCUCUCUUUCGAGGAUUGUUUUAGAAGAUAACAAAAGACUUAUGUUUAAACAAUUUUAAUUGUCAUUACUUUGAUGAUAGUUUAUGGUUUACUCUUUAUAUUCAGUAGUUUCUCCUUAUAAAAGGGCAUUUGAAUCAUUGGGUCUACUUUUAUGGUCCUACCUAAUGCUUGGUUUAGCAUAAGGAUUGGAUUUGGGCUUUGUUGACAUGGGGCUUAACAUAAUGAUCUAUCUUAAUGAAAUCCUUAUGUGUCAUUUGGAGAUUUUAUAGAGAUUUACCGCUCCAAGCUCCGUUUUGUAUAAAUACCUUAUUAUAGGAUGUAAACACUUUACAGGUUAUCCAAACAUAGACAAGUAUUUACAGGUAAACACUUUACCACUUUAAACCAAACGUUACAAAUUGUAAACACUUUACAUUUAUAAAGAGUUUUAAGUGUAAAGUGUUUACAACUUAAAAUUUCACAAACAUCUAAAUGACCUCUUAAGUGAUGCUUGAAUUGAGUGUAGUAACUGUCGUUUUGAGAUUUUUGCCUCAAAAAUGAAAAUUUGGAAAUUGUUUUGGAAAUGUUGAAGAAAUGUCCUCAGGGGUCAUUUAGCAACAUGGAUUCUAAGGGAUAUGCGGGGAUUUCAAUUUGUUAGGAUAUUUGUUAGCAAGGAUUUUGAAGGAUUUGGAUAUUGAUUCCUCCAAAAUCCCUUAAAAGAGCCCUUUUGCAUUCCCAUCUCAAAGUUGAUUCGCAAAAUUCACUUGAUUCCAUAGGUUUCAAAAGCCAUUGGAUUCCAAAGGAUUUAAAAUUUACACUGCCAAACGACCUCUUAAUGAUGGUUUAAUGUGAAUUGGGUCUUUUGAACCAAAAAGGUGAGAGAUCUAGAAAUAAAAAAAUAAAAA